RNAcentral lists this long non-coding RNA (595 nucleotides) under Capra hircus (goat). Its description in RNAcentral is "lncRNA (ENSCHIG00000004351.1)". The record is from RNAcentral. Lineage: Eukaryota; Metazoa; Chordata; Mammalia; Artiodactyla; Bovidae.
CUGUGCAAAUCCUUUGUCAAUUCUUUAUUUGCAUUGCUGCCUUUCAUAUAUUUUGUCAGAUUCUUAUGUUUUUCAUAAGGCCACAACUCAUUCCCCUUUCCUCCAGAGCCAACCACCUCAAUGAGAGACCUUGGGAACUAGACGGACAGGAUAUGAGCACUCAGUGUUUCCUCCAAGAACAUGGAAGCUUGUGGUAGCUAUUCAUGGAAAUGAAUUCCAUCAUGGUCUCGACUGUGAGGUGGCCAGGGCAACUGUGAGGGUGAAUAAGCACAUUCAACCAAAGCUGACCAAGGAACCUUAUCAAAAAACUCCCAUCUCAAAGAAACUGAAGAAAAUCGGAGGAUCAAAUCUCUGUAGCUACUGUUCCAAGGUGAAUGAAGAGCUGGAUCAGAAUGAACCAGAGGAGGUCCCAGGGAUCAUGGAGACUCCUGCCAUUCCAGCGAGACCAGUGGGCAGCCAGUGACUUCAGAGCACAGCUAGAGACCUCAGAAAUCUACAGAGGUCUCACCUCUGAGAAAUGGCCAACAGUAUAGUUGUUGAAUCUUAUACCAACAUCAUACAUUAAUAAUGAACUUUAAAUAAAAUCAACCUUGUG